UAAUAUUACGCACUUUAUGGUGUUUUUGCAAAAUUAAAAGGGAAUGUGGUGAAAAUCCACAACAGCCACCGUUACUGUAAGAGCUACGAAACUCUAAGAAUCAACAUGAUAACCACUGAGUAUAUAAACUUGGGAAGGUAGAGGAGUAGGUUUGAAGCUUUAAGUCAGGAGACCUGCCAUUAAGUAUUAAAAAUU
RNAcentral lists this non-coding RNA (195 nucleotides) under Clostridium collagenovorans. RNAcentral also lists the same sequence under 1 other name. The record is from RNAcentral. Lineage: Bacteria; Bacillati; Bacillota; Clostridia; Eubacteriales; Clostridiaceae.